GGGAUCGCCCAGGAGAAUGAAGUCUGACCAUAGUGCAAGAACAACACUGGCAACAGUACUGCAGGUGGUUCUUCUACUCUGUUUGAAGACUACUUGGGUUCAGUUCACUUUCCAUACCCAUUCAUUCAUUGGCCUCA
RNAcentral lists this small RNA (137 nucleotides) under Sphenodon punctatus (tuatara). RNAcentral describes it as "TUC338 (ENSSPUG00000005950.1)". Lineage: Eukaryota; Metazoa; Chordata; Lepidosauria; Sphenodontia; Sphenodontidae. The record is from RNAcentral.